UCAAAGGUGUGGUGAGGGCCACGCCCCCUUGCUGGAUCCCCUGGUAACUGAUGAGCCAACCUGAUGUCAAUUCCCCCUAUAACUGGUAACCUCCCCCUUCCUUUGGAGCAAAGCCUGCUGCCAUGUCCCGUCCAGCCAUUCACCACACCCAGUGGGGUGUCAUCCCAGGACCUUGCUUCAGAAAUCAAUAGUUUCUUCUAGGCACUGGAGAUGGAAGCUGGCUACCUGAGAUACUAGAGAAAUCACAAGCAACCAGAAGAUUUGCUCUGCAUAAGGUGACGGAACCAAAACAAUGAGGUCAAGUGAGUUACAGCAUGAUCAAUGAAGCAAAAAGCAGAACUCUCUCCUCUUAUGUUUAACCAAGAGCUCCAGAAAUAAUAAACUGUGAAUGAUUUAAAUUAAA
Sus scrofa (pig) is the source of this 403-nucleotide non-coding RNA. The record is from RefSeq and is a predicted model, not a curated record. NCBI's taxonomy places the organism in Eukaryota, Metazoa, Chordata, Mammalia, Artiodactyla, Suidae.